AGCAGCACCUAUACUGGAAUCUAUGAACAAUGCAGAGAGGAUUGUCAUGGCCCCUGUGCAAGGAUGACACAACAGAUUUUUGAAGCAUUCCAUAUAAAU
Molecule: small nuclear RNA, 99 nt
Filed under: Sciurus vulgaris (Eurasian red squirrel)
Lineage: Eukaryota; Metazoa; Chordata; Mammalia; Rodentia; Sciuridae
Source: RNAcentral